Molecule: ribosomal RNA, 325 nt
Filed under: uncultured eukaryote
Lineage: Eukaryota
Description: partial 18S ribosomal RNA
Rfam family: Eukaryotic small subunit ribosomal RNA
Source: RNAcentral
CCCUUAGAUGUCCUGGGCCGCACGCGCGCUACACUGAUGCAUUCAACGAGUCUUACCUUGGCCGAGAGGCCUGGGCAAUCUUUUGAACCUGCAUCGUGAUAGGGAUAGAUUAUUGCAAUUAUUAAUCUUGAACGAGGAAUUCCUAGUAAACGCAGAUCAUCAAUCUGCAUUGAUUACGUCCCUGCCCUUUGUACACACCGCCCGUCGCACCUACCGAUUGAAUGGUCCGGUGAAGCCUCGGGAUUGUGGCGAGUUCCCUUUAUUGGGAGUUUGUCGCGAGAACUUGUCUAAACCUUAUCAUUUAGAGGAAGGUGAAGUCGUAACA